CUUACACAUGCAGUCGAACGAUGAACCGCUUUCGGGCGGGGAUUAGUGGCGAACGGGUGAGUAACACGUGGGCAAUCUGCCCUGCACUCUGGGACAAGCCCUGGAAACGGGGUCUAAUACCGGAUAUGACUGUCCGCCGCAUGGUGGAUGGUGUAAAGCUCCGGCGGUGCAGGAUGAGCCCGCGGCCUAUCAGCUUGUUGGUGAGGUAGUGGCUCACCAAGGCGACGACGGGUAGCCGGCCUGAGAGGGCGACCGGCCACACUGGGACUGAGACACGGCCCAGACUCCUACGGGAGGCAGCAGUGGGGAAUAUUGCACAAUGGGCGAAAGCCUGAUGCAGCGACGCCGCGUGAGGGAUGACGGCCUUCGGGUUGUAAACCUCUUUCAGCAGGGAAGAAGCGAGAGUGACGGUACCUGCAGAAGAAGCGCCGGCUAACUACGUGCCAGCAGCCGCGGUAAUACGUAGGGCGCAAGCGUUGUCCGGAAUUAUUGGGCGUAAAGAGCUCGUAGGCGGCUUGUCACGUCGGUUGUGAAAGCCCGGGGCUUAACCCCGGGUCUGCAGUCGAUACGGGCAGGCUAGAGUUCGGUAGGGGAGAUCGGAAUUCCUGGUGUAGCGGUGAAAUGCGCAGAUAUCAGGAGGAACACCGGUGGCGAAGGCGGAUCUCUGGGCCGAUACUGACGCUGAGGAGCGAAAGCGUGGGGAGCGAACAGGAUUAGAUACCCUGGUAGUCCACGCCGUAAACGGUGGGCACUAGGUGUGGGCAACAUUCCACGUUGUCCGUGCCGCAGCUAACGCAUUAAGUG
Molecule: ribosomal RNA, 804 nt
Filed under: Streptomyces violascens
Lineage: Bacteria; Bacillati; Actinomycetota; Actinomycetes; Kitasatosporales; Streptomycetaceae
Description: bacterial SSU rRNA
Rfam family: Bacterial small subunit ribosomal RNA
Source: RNAcentral